AUGAAAGAAUUAGAUCCUGGAAAUGUUCAGUCAGAGGUUUUUGUACGACGGCUCAAUGAGUUUGUAUCACUGUGGUACACGUUCGGUGGAGGAACCAGACUGGAGGUUGGAAAGGUUUUUGUACGACGGCUCAAUGAGUUUGUAUCACUGUGGUACACGUUCGGUGGAGGAACCAGACUGGAGGUUGGAAGUGGUACCCGUCCCACCCUGACAGUGCUGCCCCCCUCCAGUGAGGACCUGAAGCAGGGGCAGGUGACCCUGAUGUGUCUGGCCAACAAGGGCUUCCCCUCAGACUGGACUCUGUCCUGGAAGCUGGACGGCAGCAGCAGCAGCAGCAGCAGCAGCUUGGAGCAGAGCAGGAGCCCCGGGGUGCUGCAGAAUGACGGCCUCUACAGCUGGAGCAGCACCCUGAGGCUCCCUGCAGACCAGUGGAGGAAGGUGGGCUCUGUGACCUGUGAGGCCUCCCAGAGCUCCCAGUCUGCCAUCACAGAGACACUGAGGAGAGACCAAUGCUCCCAGUCCUGA
Molecule: non-coding RNA, 525 nt
Organism: Poecilia reticulata (guppy)
Lineage: Eukaryota; Metazoa; Chordata; Actinopteri; Cyprinodontiformes; Poeciliidae
Source: the annotation of a RefSeq genome assembly